RNAcentral lists this transfer RNA (88 nucleotides) under Vulcanisaeta sp. JCM 16161. Its description in RNAcentral is "tRNA-Leu". It matches the Rfam family "tRNA". Rfam says of the family: Transfer RNA (tRNA) molecules are approximately 80 nucleotides in length. Their secondary structure includes four short double-helical elements and three loops (D, anti-codon, and T loops). Further hydrogen bonds mediate the characteristic L-shaped molecular structure. tRNAs have two regions of fundamental functional importance: the anti-codon, which is responsible for specific mRNA codon recognition, and the 3' end, to which the tRNAs corresponding amino acid is attached (by aminoacyl-tRNA synthetases). tRNAs cope with the degeneracy of the genetic code in two manners: having more than one tRNA (with a specific anti-codon) for a particular amino acid; and 'wobble' base-pairing, i.e. permitting non-standard base-pairing at the 3rd anti-codon position. The record is from RNAcentral. Lineage: Archaea; Thermoproteati; Thermoproteota; Thermoprotei; Thermoproteales; Thermoproteaceae. RNAcentral also lists the same sequence under 1 other name.
GCGGGGGUGCCCGAGCCUGGUCAAAGGGGGCGGACUUAAGAUCCGCUGGCGAAGGCCUGCGUGGGUUCAAAUCCCACCCCCCGCACCA